Molecule: unclassified non-coding RNA, 284 nt
Filed under: Hevea brasiliensis (rubber tree)
Lineage: Eukaryota; Viridiplantae; Streptophyta; Magnoliopsida; Malpighiales; Euphorbiaceae
Source: RNAcentral
UUACACAUAAAUAUAUUAUGUAAAUGGAAAAGUGAAAUUGCCUUUUAUUAAUAAAAUAUGUACUAGAUACAUACAAAAUGAUAUGCUCUAGGGCAUAUUACUAACAAAAACUUGCCAGGCUCCCCCCUCCAGAGAGUGCAAUUGAAUUGCUUAUAGUCAACUGCAUGUUUUGAACUUGCAAUUGUUUUUGGUUUGCAUUACACACACACACACACACAUUAUUAUGCUAUAUUUCUUACUUUCAUUGGCACUAUGACGCUCAUAAGACUUCUUUUAACAUGCAG